CCCCCGAUAGCUCAGUUGGAAGAGCGCGAGACUGUAAUGGAUAAGAUCAUCUUGAGGUCGCUGGUUCGAUCCCGGCUCGGGGGA
This 84-nucleotide transfer RNA is filed under the name Puccinia graminis f. sp. tritici. It matches the Rfam family "tRNA". From Rfam's summary of the family: Transfer RNA (tRNA) molecules are approximately 80 nucleotides in length. Their secondary structure includes four short double-helical elements and three loops (D, anti-codon, and T loops). Lineage: Eukaryota; Fungi; Basidiomycota; Pucciniomycetes; Pucciniales; Pucciniaceae. RNAcentral also lists the same sequence under 1 other name. The record is from Rfam by way of RNAcentral.